Oncorhynchus tshawytscha (Chinook salmon) is the source of this 1159-nucleotide long non-coding RNA. The record is from Ensembl. NCBI's taxonomy places the organism in Eukaryota, Metazoa, Chordata, Actinopteri, Salmoniformes, Salmonidae.
AUGAGAUUCAGAAGAGAACGCACACUUCCACGAACGAUAUAUCAUCAAAGAGAUAUGUGAAAAACACCUUGAGGAUUGAUUCUAAACAACGUUUACCAUGUUUCAGUCGAUAUUAUGGAGUCAAUUUGGAAAAAGUUUGGCGUUUUGAUGACUGAAUUUUUGUUUUUUUUGGUAGCCAAACGUGACGCACCAAACGAAGCGAUUUCUCCUAAACAAAUAAUCUUUCAGGAAAAACUGAACAUUUGCUAUCUAACUGAGUCUCCUCAUUGAAAACAUCCGAAGUUCUUCAAAGAGUUACGUGUAGUCUGGCUGUGUGUUAUCAUUUUAACUUCCAGUUUCCAAGAUUAUGUUUCUGUAUGCAGUGCUGCUGCUCUGCACAUUUGUAGCCAGGUCCCAUCUACUUUUUAACUCCUCACAACUAAAGUGGCCAAAACAAGAACAAGUCUGUGCUCUGGUAUUGUGCCUGGUGGACCAUGCAAAAGCUACAUCACAGUCCACACCAAGUUGCCCCCCCGACUAGUGCUUCAGCCUCAUCAAGCAGCGCUUCAGAAAGACCAGAGUGAACACUUUGUCUGAGAUUGCUGGUGUUGUGAAGGACAGCACUGACAGGGGUCAACAUCCCACAGCUGGUUGGACUGGAGGAUGGUACGGUGUUGGUGGAAAGCUAUCUGCUGGCAACAACACCUGACUCCAUACUUCAGGCCGCGGCCACAGAUCAAGCAAUACCAGCACUUCAGCUCUGAUGCUCUGGAGCCUGGUGUUGUUGUCACCAAGGAGUGUUCGGACUCAUUCGGGACCAGGUUUCAGUUGCUGUGCAGCGCUGACAUCCUUCCUCCCAUAGAUGGUCUGCUUGUACAAGCACCACCCGGACUGGACACAGCUAGACAAACUUAUCUUUUUGAGAUCAGAGAGUUUUGCUGACGAAGAGGCUAUGGACAACACAUGCCCUGUGCCUAACUCAAGGGCAGGACAGAAAGAGGCUCUCCAAAUAAAGAUUUCCUGCGUGGUUCGGACAGACCAGUCAUCAGCACUAUCUGCAGUGCCUCUAUUCAAAUUACUCUCUCCUAACACACACGCUAUAUGUUUCUGCAUUCAUUUUUUUUAUCCUGCUGCUCAGCCACUUUACCCCUGAUUGUAUGCAUAUCCUAAUCUAUCACUG